AUGAUGAAUUGCAAAGUGUCAAAUAUGCCUCUGUCCACAUCCGAAAAGCUCUCUAAGGAAAAUGGUGAAAUCUUGGGAGCUCAUGAUUCUACAAAUUACAGAAGUGUGGUAGGUGCAUUGCAGUACUUGACUUUGACAAGGCCUGAUAUAUCCUUCUCUGUCAAUAAAGUAUGUCAAUUCUUGCACUCUCCUACCCUUGAACACUGGACUGCAGUAAAAAGAAUUCUUAGAUAUCUCAGAGGAACCAUGAGUACUGGACUGAAAUUUUCCAAGUCAAGUUCUACGUUGGUAAGUGCCUUUUCAGAUGCAGAUUGGGCAGGAUGUCCAGAUGACAGAAGGUCCACAGGUGGCUUUGCUGUUUUCUUUGGACCCAACUUGAUAUCUUGGAGUGCACGCAAACAAGCAACAGUAUCAAGGUCUAGUACUGAGGCAGAAUACAAGGCGUUAGCAAAUGCCACAGCUGAAAUUAUAUGGGUUCAAACUCUGCUAAAAGAGUUAGGUGUGACACAUUCACCAGUUGCAUGUCUUUGGUGUGAUAAUAUUGGUGCCACUUACCUUUCAGCAAACCCAGUAUUUCAUGCAAGGACGAAACAUAUUGAAGUGGAUUAUCACUUUGUGAGAGAAAGAGUAGCCAAGAAGCUACUGGACAUCCGUUUCAUUCCCACCAAUGAUCAAGUUGCAGAUGGCUUCACCAAAGCCCUAUCAUGGCGUAAAUUGGAAGAUUUCAAGAGCAAUCUCAACUUGGUAAGUUAUGAUUGA
Molecule: ribosomal RNA, 759 nt
Filed under: Triticum aestivum (bread wheat)
Lineage: Eukaryota; Viridiplantae; Streptophyta; Magnoliopsida; Poales; Poaceae
Description: partial small subunit ribosomal RNA
Source: RNAcentral